GAUGAACGCUGGCGGCGUGCCUAAUACAUGCAAGCCGAGCGAACGGACGAGAAGCUUGCUUCUCUGAUGUUAGCGGCGGACGGGUGAGUAACACGUGGAUAACCUACCUAUAAGACUGGGAUAACUUCGGGAAACCGGAGCUAAUACCGGAUGAUAUUUUGAACCGCAUGGUUCAAAAGUGAAAGACGGUCUUGCUGUCACUUAUAGAUGGAUCCGCGCUGCAUUAGCUAGUUGGUAAGGUAACGGCUUACCAAGGCAACGAUGCAUAGCCGACCUGAGAGGGUGAUCGGCCACACUGGAACUGAGACACGGUCCAGACUCCUACGGGAGGCAGCAGUAGGGAAUCUUCCGCAAUGGGCGAAAGCCUGACGGAGCAACGCCGCGUGAGUGAUGAAGGUCUUCGGAUCGUAAAACUCUGUUAUUAGGGAAGAACAUAUGUGUAAGUAACUGUGCACAUCUUGACGGUACCUAAGCAGAAAGCCACGGCUAACUACGU
RNAcentral lists this ribosomal RNA (496 nucleotides) under uncultured bacterium. Its description in RNAcentral is "partial 16S ribosomal RNA". It matches the Rfam family "Bacterial small subunit ribosomal RNA", at positions 28 to 506 of the family's 1533-position model. The record is from RNAcentral.